Molecule: ribosomal RNA, 1611 nt
Filed under: Triticum aestivum (bread wheat)
Lineage: Eukaryota; Viridiplantae; Streptophyta; Magnoliopsida; Poales; Poaceae
Description: partial small subunit ribosomal RNA
Source: RNAcentral
UCAAUACCGUGCUCAUCUUGUUCUAGCACCAAGAGUCGAAGAUGCACCCCUUCUUCCUCCUCCUCCUCACUUUGUUGAUUCCCCAUGAAAUCGUCUCCGGCACAACAGCCGCCACCUUGUGUAACCGCUGGUGCGGCGACACCACCGUCCCCUACACCUUCGGCUUCUCCGACGGCUGCCCCAUCGCCCUGUCAUGCGACGCCGACACCUCCACGCCGACCCUCUCGUACACAGGAGGCAGCGGCACGUCGUACCGCGUUGUCUCCUUCAACUCCACCAUCUCCACCGUCAUGGUCAGCCUCCCUGUGUCGUGCAUCCGCAGCGUCCCCGAUGUCAGGAGGGCGCUCUCGGGCGCCAAUUACGGCGUCUCCGCGCGCACCAUGCUCUCCGUCCGAGGGUGCCACAACGCGUCGGCAUCCAGCUGUAUCAUACCCGCGGGCGUCAUUUCGAGGCUGCUCGACACGGCGCGGUGCGACGGCAGCGAUGCCUCCGUGAAGUGUGUCGCCUCCGUUGCGCCGAACGCCUCCGCCGGGUUGGCGUACAGGCAGUUCCUGCGGUGGGAAAACGUAGAGAGGGCCAACUGCGAUGACGUGCUGGCGUCGGGGGUGUGUCUGGACAUGGUGGAUGGGGUGCUGUCGCUGGCCAACGAGGUGGCGGAGCUGGCGUGGUGGCUCAACGGCACGUGCGUCGUCGGCGGCGGGGGUUGCGCGGCGAACGCGACGUGCUCCUAUGUAAAUACGCCGAGCGGGUCGGUGGGGCGGUGCACGUGCGUGGCAGGGAUGAACGGCGACGGGUUCUUGGCUGGAGACCGAUGCUACGUCGAUAUGAUAUAGUGCUCGGUGUAGGUUCGGCGCUUCUAUACCUGCACCAAGAGACGGAGCAACGCGUGGUGCACAGGGACAUCAAGCCUAGCAACAUCAUGCUAGACGCCUCCUUCAUCGCCAAACUCGGUGACUUUGGGCUCGCGAGGCUCAUCAAUGAUGGCCGGAAAUCGCACACUACCGGUAUAGCCGGCACGAUGGGGUACAUCGAUCCUGAGAGCUUGUUGGCCGGCAGGGCGAGCGUCGAGUCGGAUGUGUACAGCUUUUGAAUUGUCCUCCUCGAGGUUGCCUCUGGGCAGCGGCCAGCUCUAGUCCAGGAAGACGGUGACGUCGUCCACCUGGUGCAGUGGGUGUGGGACUUGUACGGCAAAGGAUCAAUUCUAGAUGCCGCCGACGAGCGACUUAAGGGGGAGUUUGACAGCACGGAGAUGGAGCGUGUUAUGGUCGUGGGGCUCUGGUGCGCGCACCCUGACCGUGCGAUGCGGCCAUCCAUCAGGCAAGCGUUGAACGUGCUGCGGUCCGAAGCGCCAUUACCAAGCCUCCCGGAUAGGAUGCCGGUAGCGACCUAUGGGCCACCGACUAAUCAUUCGAGUUCCGGAACUUUGGCGCUGAGCAGCGUCAGUGGCCGGUGAUGGUGUUCCCACCAGAACAAUAGUUAAAUUCUCCAGUUAAUAGAAUCUUAGUUCCUUGUGUUGGUUACCAAUCGUCCACGAUCAGGAGACAAGUAUGCACGAAUAAAAUGUUGCCACCGUUCAGCAUCUACAGAGCAAACACCAUGUAUAUUGCCGGA